UUGAAGAGUUUGAUCAUGGCUCAGAUUGAACGCUGGCGGCAGGCCUAACACAUGCAAGUCGAACGGUAACAGGAAGCAGCUUGCUGCUUUGCUGACGAGUGGCGGACGGGUGAGUAAUGUCUGGGAAACUGCCUGAUGGAGGGGGAUAACUACUGGAAACGGUGGCUAAUACCGCAUAACGUCGCAAGACCAAAGAGGGGGACCUUCGGGCCUCUUGCCAUCAGAUGUGCCCAGAUGGGAUUAGCUUGUUGGUGAGGUAACGGCUCACCAAGGCGACGAUCCCUAGCUGGUCUGAGAGGAUGACCAGCCACACUGGAACUGAGACACGGUCCAGACUCCUACGGGAGGCAGCAGUGGGGAAUAUUGCACAAUGGGCGCAAGCCUGAUGCAGCCAUGCCGCGUGUAUGAAGAAGGCCUUCGGGUUGUAAAGUACUUUCAGCGGGGAGGAAGGUGUUGUGGUUAAUAACCGCAGCAAUUGACGUUACCCGCAGAAGAAGCACCGGCUAACUCCGUGCCAGCAGCCGCGGUAAUACGGAGGGUGCAAGCGUUAAUCGGAAUUACUGGGCGUAAAGCGCACGCAGGCGGUCUGUCAAGUCGGAUGUGAAAUCCCCGGGCUCAACCUGGGAACUGCAUUCGAAACUGGCAGGCUUGAGUCUUGUAGAGGGGGGUAGAAUUCCAGGUGUAGCGGUGAAAUGCGUAGAGAUCUGGAGGAAUACCGGUGGCGAAGGCGGCCCCCUGGACAAAGACUGACGCUCAGGUGCGAAAGCGUGGGGAGCAAACAGGAUUAGAUACCCUGGUAGUCCACGCCGUAAACGAUGUCUACUUGGAGGUUGUGCCCUUGAGGCGUGGCUUCCGGAGCUAACGCGUUAAGUAGACCGCCUGGGGAGUACGGCCGCAAGGUUAAAACUCAAAUGAAUUGACGGGGGCCCGCACAAGCGGUGGAGCAUGUGGUUUAAUUCGAUGCAACGCGAAGAACCUUACCUGGUCUUGACAUCCACGGAAGUUUUCAGAGAUGAGAGUGUGCCUUCGGGAACCGUGAGACAGGUGCUGCAUGGCUGUCGUCAGCUCGUGUUGUGAAAUGUUGGGUUAAGUCCCGCAACGAGCGCAACCCUUAUCCUUUGUUGCCAGCGGUCCGGCCGGGAACUCAAAGGAGACUGCCAGUGAUAAACUGGAGGAAGGUGGGGAUGACGUCAAGUCAUCAUGGCCCUUACGACCAGGGCUACACACGUGCUACAAUGGCGCAUACAAAGAGAAGCGACCUCGCGAGAGCAAGCGGACCUCAUAAAGUGCGUCGUAGUCCGGAUUGGAGUCUGCAACUCGACUCCAUGAAGUCGGAAUCGCUAGUAAUCGUGGAUCAGAAUGCCACGGUGAAUACGUUCCCGGGCCUUGUACACACCGCCCGUCACACCAUGGGAGUGGGUUGCAAAAGAAGUAGGUAGCUUAACCUUCGGGAGGGCGCUUACCACUUUGUGAUUCAUGACUGGGGUGAAGUCGUAACAAGGUAACCGUAGGGGAACCUGCGGUUGGAUCACCUCCUU
RNAcentral lists this ribosomal RNA (1538 nucleotides) under Salmonella enterica subsp. enterica serovar Typhimurium. RNAcentral's name for it is "bacterial SSU rRNA". It matches the Rfam family "Bacterial small subunit ribosomal RNA". Lineage: Bacteria; Pseudomonadati; Pseudomonadota; Gammaproteobacteria; Enterobacterales; Enterobacteriaceae. The record is from RNAcentral.